GGCACAAAAGCCUAUAUUAGGAGUGGCCGUGGUAGAUGGCCUCAGGAUUCCAGUGUGUUAUCUCGAUUCUACUGAUCUAACAUCUACUUCCUCCCCCUGAGAAGUCUCUUUCAACUCUGAACCUCUUAUACAAGAUCCUGACCUGGUUCAGUCCUGGGAGAGCUCAUCAUCUAAUGAAGACGAUAUGACCUAUAUUCUGAUAUUCCUAGGGGAGACUCUGGGUGAAGACACAAGACAAAAAGUGAUUUCUCCAAAAAACAAAGACCAGAUGGUGACCUGACCCUAAAUGACUGUAACUUGAUCCCCACUUUCAUUUUCCUUUCACAAAGAAUAAUAAUUCUGAUUUAACAAGACCCUGAAAAGGACCACCUAACCAGAGCAGCCCUUUGUUACCCUUCUUACAGAAUGCCCUGGGAUCCAGGGCUGGCUUGGGAGAUUUCAGGAAAUCAAUCUAUGGACAAAGUCACUGGUGCAGGGUGUAUUGAUCCAGAGCUCCUGGGGAUUGGAAAGCCCUGAUAUAAUGGGCAGCCAUGACUAGAGAUUACAACCUUGCUCUUUCCGUAGACAUAUGUAUUGGGUUUCUGAAAAUGCAAAGGACGGAUGCGCUCAUCCUCCUCAGGGAUUAUUGGGUCAUUUCUCAGCAUGUCUGGCAUCUGAACAGGAGCUCGGCCUGAUGAAUCACAUCCAGCAUCGAUAGUUCAAGCAGGAGAAAUCUGAAAUUGGAGCAGAGAUUUAAGCACUUCCUGGCACACAGACUUUCAUCUUUGAGGACUAAUUUGCAGUGUGCAUUUUAUACAUCUUUAUAGGGUCUUGCUGCCAUCUCAGGCACCUUAUUUCUUGGCAAAUGGAGGUGGAUUGGCAUUUAUAAGCGAAUGUGUUGUAUGGAAGUGAUUGCCUUGACACAUAUUUUAUUGGAAGGUGACAUCGAUAUAUUUUCCGUGUGUGUCUGUCCAUCUGGGCAAUAUUCCAUUUUGGAAAGAAACGCUAACAACUGCAUCAUUAACCAAGGGAGAGGGCCAUUCCUCAAUGAUGCUACAGAAAAAAGAUGAAUGUGGAUCAUCAUAUCAAGUGUUGUCAGUGUUGGCUAUCAUCUCAGCAGUUCAAAGUGCCGAUUUUAACCUCUGACAUCUAAUGCUAUUUUAUAUCCCACCUUAUACCCUGGAUAUCUCAUGUCCCAGGGAAGUUUUGCACUAACUCAGAGGGACAGGAAUAUUCCCUCUGAAAGUCCUUUGUUUUAGGCCUUGGGCAGAAUUGAGGAGUGUGAUUGGGCUGUUUUUUCCCAAUGGACGACUAUUUCAUCUUUCAAAUGGGCCCCUCUAAAAAAUGUUGUCAGAAAAUAAGGAUGCUAUAAAUGCAUAUUAGUAUAAAGCACAGAAAUCAAAUCACAAGAUCAAAGGAUGUCUGAGUAUGGGGUCAUCUAGAAUGAUUUCCACCUAUGUAAAAACUAGUUCUGCAAUAGAGUCAAUUAAACUCCACAAGCAUUUACUAAGUACCUACUAGAGGCAAAGGACUGAGCUAAAUGCAAGUAAGAGAUGGAAAGUACGGGUACGGCACAGUUCCUGCCAUCCUGUGAUUUACAGUUUACUAACUAGAGUAGCAAGAUUAGAGCAGCAAGAAAAGAGGGAAUUGAGGGGAAUAGAACCACAAGUGUUUAAUUGUGGGAAUCUGGUGAGUGAAUCAUGUUCACUCCAUCUUGACCCCAUCUUGUGAUUCAAUUCCUUUUCUAUUCAUUAUAGAUGUAGUCCAAAUUCUGUCUUGUGACAAAGUUAUUCCAUUGUAGGAAGUGGGAGAAAACUUUAUUGUACUGUUUGAACAUACUCCUGUGUGGCUGGGAAGCUGGACUACCUAGUGUUUAGAGACACUUAAAAAAGGACCUAGAUUGUGCUGGUCUUUAUUAGAUUGUGCUGGUUUUAUUAGAAAGAGAGAGAAAAUUCAAACAGAAUGGAAAAUGUAUAAAAUAUAGGGAACUUCUAGAACUGAGAAAAGUCAGCUUGGUGGCAGAGUGAAUAGAAUGCUGGGUCUAGAAUUCAGGCAACUCCAAAGAUUGAUGCAAGGAGUUUUUUCACAAUUAUAUUUCUUAAGUAACCCAUAUAUCUUAUAUGAAAACUGCCGAUGUACUGAUCUAUCAGUUUUUGUUUCCAUGUUCCUUUGAGUAUUUACAGACCCCCAGGGGAAUAAGACACAUCUCUUUCUCUCUCUUUUUUUUUUGUUAUAUUUUAUUUUAUUUAAUAAUAACUUUAUAUUGACAGAACCCAUGCCAGGGUAAUUUUUUUUUACAACAUUAUCCCUUGCACUCGUUUCUGUUCCGAUUUUUCCCCUUCCUCCCUCCACCUCCUCCCCUAGAUGGCAAGCAGUCCUAUGUAUAUUAGAUAUGUUGCAGUAUAUCCUAGAUACAAUAUAUGUUUGUAGAACCGAACAGUUUUCUUGUUGCACAGGGAGAAUUGGAUUCAGAAGAUAAAAAUAACCCGGGAAGAAAAACAAAAAUGCAAAUAGUUCACAUUCAUUUCCCAGUGUUCUUUCUUUGGGUGUAGCUGCUUCUGUCCAUCAUUUAUCAAUUGAAACUCAGUUAGGUCUCUUUGUCAAUGAAAUCCACUUCCAUCAAGACACAUCUCUUGCUGAAUUCAGGGAAUUGCGAAUGUUCAUUCUUCUCUUCCCAACUUGGAAAGUCCCUAAUCUUUCAUCUAAUUAGAAAUCAGAUCAUCUAUCACUUCACACCUCUCAGAUUGACUAAGAUGACAGGAGAAGAUAAUGAUGAAUGUCGGAGGGGAUGUGGGAAAACUGGGACACUAAUAACUGAUCCAAACAUUCUGGAAAGCAGUCUGGAACUAUGUACUAUAAUAUGUCAAUAAAUUUGAUAAUCUACCUGAAAUAGAGGAAUACCUACAAAAUAUAGCUUGGCCAGAUUAACAGAAGAGGAAAUAAAUUACUUAAAUAGUCCCAUUUUAGAAAAAAGAAAUAGAUCAAGAUAUUAAUCAACUCCCUCAAACUGUGGAUACCCUUUGAUCCCAACAGUGUCUCUACUGGUCCUGUAUCCCAAAGAGAUCAUAAAAAAAGGAAAAAGACCCAUAUGUGCAAAAAUUGAUUGUAGCAGUCCUUUUUGUAGCGGAAAGGAACUGGAAAUUGAGUUCAUCCCCAUUAGUUGGGGAAUGGCUGAAUAAGUUAAGAUAUAUGAAUAUUAUGGAAUAUUACUGUUCUAUAAGAAAUGAUCAGCAGGAUGAAUACAGAGAGGCCUGGAGAGAGUUACAUGAACUGAUGCUGAGUGAACCAGGAGAACAUUGUACACAGCAGCAGCAAGAUUAUAUGAUGAUCUAUUCCAAAGGACGUGGCUUUUUUCAACAGUGAUGUGAUUCAGGCCAGUUGUAAUGUAUUUGUGGAGAAGAAAGCCAUCUGCACCCAGAGAGAAGACUGUGGGGACUGUGGAGAUCACAAUAUAGUAUUUUUACGUCUUUUGUUGUUGUUUGCUUGCAUUUUGUUUUCUUUCUCAUUUUUUCCCUUUUUUGAUCUGAUUUUUCUUGUGCAUCAUGAUAAUUGUGGAAAUAUGUAUAGAAGAAUUGCACAUAUUUAACAUAUACUGGAUUAUUUGCCAUCUAGGGAGGGGUUGAGGGUAAGAGAGGGAAAAAUAUUUGGAAUACAAAGUUUUGCAAGGAUGAAUGUUGAAAAUUAUGCAUAUGUUUUGAAAAUAAAAAGCUUUAAUUAAAAAAAAGAAAAAAGAAAUCAGAUCACCUUAUGUUGUAUAGUUUCUUUUUAAUGCAUUGGUUUUAUUUGAUUGCUUUUAAUGUAUAAAAAAAGCUAUCUCUUCCUGUAUUAGGAGACCAGUGCCAAUGCUGAGGAAUAUUAUUGUGUAUUUGUUGAACAAUUGGCAUGCACUGCUUAAUAAAUCGAUAUGCUCACAACUCAAA
Molecule: long non-coding RNA, 3899 nt
Organism: Antechinus flavipes (yellow-footed antechinus)
Lineage: Eukaryota; Metazoa; Chordata; Mammalia; Dasyuromorphia; Dasyuridae
Exons: 3
Source: RefSeq, a predicted model, not a curated record